This is a long non-coding RNA of Dermacentor andersoni, 2941 nucleotides long. RefSeq lists it as uncharacterized. The record is from RefSeq and is a predicted model, not a curated record. NCBI's taxonomy places the organism in Eukaryota, Metazoa, Arthropoda, Arachnida, Ixodida, Ixodidae.
AGCCUCCAACCUGUGGUAGAUGCGGGGAGAGGCUGACCGUACUCCACGUCCUCCUGGAGUGUCGGGAAGCCGAAUCUGAGAGAAAUAGACAUUUUUCAUUAGCAUACCGGCAGCACAUUCCCCUUCACCCAUUAAUGUUACUCGGCCCAGAACCGCUAUUUGACACCAAUGCAGUCUUAAGUUAUCUGAAAGAUGUUGUAUUGCAUGUUGUUAGCCCCACAUGUUCGUAGCGUCUCCUCUCUUCAGAGGAUGGCGCUGUGAUAGUUCUUUCGUAUAGCACGUGCCUCUAGGCCCUUGUGUUUCAAGGGCUCCGGCGAGGCAACAGUGCUCCAGCUAUUUUUACCAUCUCAUAUAUUUUCAAUUCUAUGUCAUUCUUUUACGAUGGAUUUUAAUGUUCAUAGUAUUCGUCAUUAGUCAUCGCCAUAAUUUUAUAUCACGUAGAUUUUAUGCACUUUACAGCAACUAUUUUUAGGCCACUUUACAGCCAAGUCACAUUUCCAUAAUACAUCGUCAACAUCACCACUUGUCAUGGCGCUCUUUGGCCACACCUGGCCCUUGCGCCAUUAAACACCACAUAUCAUCAUAUGCAUUUAUAUGUUCAUAGUACAAGUCAUACGUCAUAGCCAUAAUUUUAUUACACAUAUUUUACACACUUUAGAGCGUAUAUUUUAAGGCCCCUUUACAGCCACGUCCCACCAAUUUCAUAGUAAUCAUAGUCACAUUGCACACCCACUACCACAGACAUGGCGCUCUUUGGCCACACCUGGCCCUUGUGCCAUAAAACCCCAUACAUCAUCAUCAUCAUCGAAACUCACUAUUCAGGAUUGUUGUGUAUUUGUUUCUCUUCGCAUAUCAGGGGACUAACAACACUUACCACCAGCCUAUAGGAAUGAAGACAAAUGCAAGUGGAGAUUUUCUAAUGAUUAGGCUGCGAGGGAGCAGGAGCUACUAUGCCGAAUUACCAAAUUUUGCCACUGUAGUACUAUUGAACUAGCUAAGUGACAUAUCUCGAAAACUUAUUUUACAAAUGAGUUGGUUUUUUUAUAACAAAAGUGAUUAAGGCCUGUUUUGAGAUUGCUUGGUUAAAACUCGUUGCCUAAAAAUAUAAGCGGAUCAAAGUUUUUAUUUCUAGCGGUAGAAGCAUUUCCUGCCACUAUGUAGAUGAGCUGUCAUUUGCUUAUUGCAGUGGUUCUUGCAUUUUCAAAACAUGCGCUGCAUUUCUUUCUUGUUGAAAUUCAUUAUUGUUAUACAAUAAUUUCAUGUUGCUGUGGUCACUGCCUUUCCUUAAUUGCAGGGAGCUUUUGCCCAUCUCCUGUCACUCGGUAUGCUUCUACCUCACGAGAUCCAGUUCCUUGUAGCCAAGGUUGGCUAUUUCUCUCUGAAAGGUGGCAGCGAUGCAAAAGACGGAGUUCGCAGGGUGCUCCGACAAAUCGUCUCCAAGGCAGUUACACUGCAGUGUAGCUGGGCCGGCUCCUCAGGGAAAAUAUUUCCAUUCAAAAGCCUCACAAAUGUGCUGCAUCUUCUGCUUGGUGCAACACGUGCCCUCUUCGGCACGAUUGAUGCAGCUGUUGCAGACACCACCAAAAGGUGGCUGAUUUUUGCUGCGGACCAGGAGGGAGGCCGGACACACAGACGGCGCGUCGCCUUGUUGAGGCAAUGCGACACAAGCCAAGACACCACCUCAUAAUCUCUAGAGUUUGAUGUAGCCUCUUCUUUUAAAACAGUUCUGCUACAUGUUAUUCCACAUAUCAGGGGUGUAAAGCUUUCCCAGCGUGGCGCACAGCGUCUACAAUGCACAAGCAACUUCAGUGCCUUUGCUUGCAACGAUGUCCCGGUAGCACUCCCUGGCAAACAGUAUUGCAAAUUUUGCCAGAACUGGAUGGACUUGAAACCUAUCCUUCAAGUUGAUAACAAGUUUAUCAACAAAAGCUUCUCUGGUUCCCUGCAUUCAAACUUCAAAUUCUGAUGUGACUGACAAUGUAAUAUCAUUGCUGGCACAGAAUUCUUUAAGGUUUGUCUUGAGGUGUUUCUGUGCCUCCAGCAUGGUUAUUGUAGAUGUUAUCACGUCUUGCAAGAGAUCAACAUGCCGCGACCUUGCUUGGAGGGCUUUGAUAGCCUCUCAGUCAAUGAGACAUCGCACAUCAUCAAAAGUGUGCCUACAAAUCUGCCACUUAAGUUAAGCUUUAGCAGCCCAGCUGCCUUAUUUUCACCCCUGUCAUCUGCUUCUCGUGAGAGACUUGCUGUGAUGGCUUGCAGAUUAUUUUGGACAGCAGCACACGACCCUCCAACACUAAGCCAGCGUGUGGCAGAUGGCUCAGUAAUCUUUGAGCCCACUGAUUGACUGAUGUGUUCAAAUGUGCCUUUUUAAAAUGAUGUAACAGCUUAUUCGUUCACGUAAUUGCAUUCACCCUUUUUUUUUUGUGUGUGACAUUUCAUUUUUAGACAGCUGAAUGAUGUAAUGUGGUUCGGCCACCUAAAAGAGAGCAUUAGCUGUGCCUUCUGUGUCCCGUGGCUCGAUAUGUGCAAUAACUUUUGUGAUAUCGUUUACUGCAGUCGCUGUUAAGCAACUUGAUAUAUUGACUGAUGUGUUCAAAUAUGCGUUUUUAAAAUGCUGUAACAGUUUAUUUGUUCACAUAAUUGUGUUCCACCCUUUCCUUUUUUGUGAUAUUUCAUUUUUGGACAGCCGAAUGAUGUGUGGUUCGACCAUCUGUGUCCCUUGUUAGCUUGAUAUGUGCAGUCAUUUACUGUAGUUUACUGCUGUCCCUGUUAAGGAACUGGAUAUAUUGACUAUUCACUGGUGUGUUCAAUUCUGCCUUUUUAAAAAAUUAUGUGACAGUUCAUUUGUUCACAUAGUUGUGUAUUCUAUGCUUUCUUUGUGUUUAGACAUGUUCCAUCUUAUGCUACUGUAUUCUUCAGUGCAAAAUAAAAAUGAAACCGAAAA